ACCUGCUUGUCCCCCAGCUCUGCACUCCAUGGGAACUUCAGUCAGGUGGAAAGUGAUUUUCUUCUCUGCAGCUUGAAGUAUCGUUAAGACCCGCUAAAGGCCCUAAAGCUGUUCCUAGUAACUGAGACAUUUAGGAUAAUCUUUAUGGAGUUUUGCAGGAGCGUCUGCUUUUUGUUGCUCUUAGGAGAAGAGUUAAUGAUGAGCUUUCACUGACUCUCCCCCACCUUUUUUUUCUUUCUAAAAAAUCUAAGCCAAAAAACGCCUGUUUAAGUUAAGUACCACCUCCCUCCAGCUCUUGGGAAUCCACUCAAGAGGGCUUUGCUUGGCUCUGUGUUCAUGACACAUAAUGAAAACAAUUUUACGCUGUGGAGGGAAGUAUUGGGCAAUUACUGAUGUAACAGCCACCUGCAGUAGCCGAGCCCUGGCUGUAGCAUCGUGUGGUUCAUGAAUAUUUUAUGGGUCCACAGUGUAACACCAAGAAGCAUCCUGACCCCGCCUGGAUGGAGGCAAGGGCCACUGAGGCUGAGGCAAGAUGCUAUGACAAGUCACGGGGGGCACCCUUUACAAGCCCUUGUCUGCCGAUUUUACACACGUUGUCCAGUGUGAAAAGCCACAGCAUCAAUCUUGUCUGAUUUAAUUUGAUAAAUUAAGUGUGGAUAAGGAUUAAAUGAGAAUUUUGUAAUGGAGAAAA
This is a long non-coding RNA of Peromyscus eremicus (cactus mouse), 691 nucleotides long. RefSeq lists it as uncharacterized. The transcript has 2 exons. The record is from RefSeq and is a predicted model, not a curated record. NCBI's taxonomy places the organism in Eukaryota, Metazoa, Chordata, Mammalia, Rodentia, Cricetidae.